AUGUUGGAGAGGAGGCCACAGCUAUGGAAACAGAAGCAUCGUGGGAAGGCGUUCAUGGCACUGGUUUCCUUCCCGGUGGUCGUGCUCCUCAGCGGCAGUAGCCGAACAAUGUCGGGCCUAUCGACAUCAGCGCUGAUCCCUCCGGUGGAGGGUAACUUGCCGGUUCGGCACCGGCCGAUCAUCGUCCAACGGAGCGAUAAGCUACUUCAACGUAUCAUCCCGAUGGGCAAGGAAGAGCUGGCCAUGGGAAGGAAUGGCACGGCCCAAUGUAGCAAAAGCAGAGUCCAGACCGUUGCCGAUGUGGUCCGCUCAGAUGUUGACAGGGGUGACAAACAAGUGCAAAUGAAGAAUAUCAUGGAGUCGAAGCCCAUGGCCUCACAAUUCCCUAGUUCUGCUACAAAGCAGGGGAUACCGGAGUUCUUUAAGGAUGAAUCUGUUGAGAGACCUAAGUUUGCUUCUCUCACAACGCCAGGAUCCAUGGACAGGAACAAUUCAGGGCCUAUUGCUGGUAUCUUGCGACAUAUGAUGGGCCAAAAUGUGACAUAUGCUCUUCUUAAUCACACGGAUUAUUUUGAGUUCAUUCCAUUGGAGGAAUUCAACUCGGGGAGCAGUGACUAUGUUAAUUACUCAGAGACAGAGCCCAAUGUGCUUAUUGAAGUUCUAAUAACUACAUUUGCAGCUGGGAUAAUUGUGUGGUUGAUAUCUACAACGAUGAACAUCAAGCCGGUGAUCUCUAGAUGCUUGGGCAAGGAUGUACGCAUUCUGAUUGCUGUUGCUGUUGUGCUCGCGUCUUCCACACAUGUGCGGUCUGCUCCUGAAGAUAUUCCACCUGUCGUGGCCACAGUUUUCGAUGAAAGAGGGGAGUCAUACGAGCCAUUUUUCAAUGUUAUGCACACGUUGCUAGAAGCAAACACAGAAGCUGAUAAGUACGGCCACUAUUUUCUUCCUCAACAGAAGCCAGGACCGCCAGCUUGGUGGAUCAGUGUCGAGGUGAAAGGUGAAGAUAUUGGACGCAGUGCCCUCAUGUAUUUCAGAUCAGAUAAUAUAUACCUCGUUGGAUUUAUGAAUGGAUAUGGCACACUAUACUGCAUGGAUGAUGCAACAGAAAUGUUUCCACAGGGCUGCACCCCGUUGGGUUUCACAGGCAAAUAUCAUGAUCUCACAGGUCGAGAAAACAAAGAAGAUGAUCUUAAUCCAUUUCUGCGAACCGAGCUUUUAGGAAGGACAGCAGCCCAAUAUGCAGCAAAUAUUCUUGUGGAGUACGGGGUUACUAUAAAGGCGCCGGAACUUGCUAAGAGAGCCUUGCUUAUCUACACUCUUAUGAUCCCAGAGGCGCUACGGUUUAAGCCCAUCGGGAAUCAAAUCAAGCAAAGUUGGUUACACCCAAUGACCCUAACACCGGAGCAAUCCAACAUUGUCUUCGCAUGGCAGGAUAUGUCUGAAUUAUUUUGUCGUGGGGAUGACAUAACCGAUCAAACUCCAGUAUGGACUAAAGGAGCCAAAAGGCUCGCCAAUGCUAACAUAGAAAAUCGACAGGAUAUUAUCAAUACUCUUGAUUUUGUGAAAUACAAGAAGCACUGCAAGAAGUUCAGGAAGGAAAUUCCAUAG
Molecule: ribosomal RNA, 1608 nt
Filed under: Triticum aestivum (bread wheat)
Lineage: Eukaryota; Viridiplantae; Streptophyta; Magnoliopsida; Poales; Poaceae
Description: partial small subunit ribosomal RNA
Source: RNAcentral